RNAcentral lists this ribosomal RNA (103 nucleotides) under uncultured bacterium. RNAcentral describes it as "partial 16S ribosomal RNA". It matches the Rfam family "Bacterial small subunit ribosomal RNA", at positions 1379 to 1482 of the family's 1533-position model. The record is from RNAcentral.
CCUUGUACACACCGCCCGUCACGCCAUGGGAGUCUAUUGCACCAGAAGCCGGUAGCUUAACCGAAAGGGGGCGCCGUCCACGGUGUGGUCGAUGACUGGGGUG